This 274-nucleotide ribosomal RNA is filed under the name uncultured bacterium. RNAcentral's name for it is "partial 16S ribosomal RNA". It matches the Rfam family "Bacterial small subunit ribosomal RNA", at positions 523 to 796 of the family's 1533-position model. The record is from RNAcentral.
AUACGGAGGGUGCAAGCGUUACUCGGAAUCACUGGGCGCAAAGCGCGCGCAGGCGGGCUGAUAAGUUGGAUGUGAAAGCCUACGGCUCAACCGUAGAACUGCAUCCAAAACUGUCAGUCUAGAGUGUGGGAGAGGAAGAUGGAAUUAGUUGUGUAGGGGUAAAAUCCGUAGAGAUAACUAGGAAUACCAAAAGCGAAGGCAAUCUUCUGGAACACUACUGACGCUGAGGCGCGAAGGCGUGGGGAGCAAACAGGAUUAGAAACCCUAGUAGUCC